Sarcophilus harrisii (Tasmanian devil) is the source of this 749-nucleotide long non-coding RNA. RefSeq lists it as uncharacterized. NCBI's taxonomy places the organism in Eukaryota, Metazoa, Chordata, Mammalia, Dasyuromorphia, Dasyuridae. The transcript is spliced from 3 exons. The record is from RefSeq and is a predicted model, not a curated record.
GAAGCCAGUAUUCACGUUUUAUACUUAUCCAUACAAGGCAGCAAAUAUUGUAUGGUAAUUGGAAUGAAAGCCGAGAAUAAAGACCAAUAUGUUUAUUACAUCGACCGAUUCUUAGCUGCAAAACUGGAGUUGACCAUGAUGCGGAAAUCUAGCAAUGUUUCCAUGAGCUACUGACCAUAAGUUUCAGGACUAAAGAUAAAUUUAUACUAAAUAUCAGAUUAUUUGGAAAUUUGAUCUGGCUGUGGAAAUCUCUGGGUACAUCCUCACCUGGACUAUUAAGAAGAUACCAUUAAAACCAAUAGAAGUUGAACGAAAGCUUAAUGAAUGGUCAAGAUAAAUGGAUCAAUUUGGAAAAUAAGGAAGAUUCUCUUGGGAGGGAGCCCAGUGCACGCGUUAAGUACGCUGCCAUAUCCGAAGCCUGCGCUUUAAAUAAUAGUCUCCAGCACAGAGUGUGCUCCCACUUCCCUUUCUCCCGGCCACUUUAAAUAGCCUUGGGCACCUAAGAGAAAAGCUUCUGAACUGAAGCACACAUAAAGCUGCCAAUAAAAGAACAGAUCCGAAGCCUUCUUGCCGCCCCAGCGGCUCCGGGGCUGCAGCUUCUACCAGAAAGAGAAACCUCUUACCUUUUGGGGACGGUUCGACUUGCGGUAAUUCCGGACCCGAGCCCACACCGCCUCGCUAGCUUUUCCCGGGGACGGUAGGCGCUGGUUAUCACUCACAGCGCUCCCCCCCCCCCCCCCCCCCCCCCC